AUGUUAUAGUUUGGACACUUACAAAUUAACAACUUGAAUCUCUCUCAUGCAUCCGACAAGGAUUCACUAUCCUAUUGUCUAAAAUUUGAAAUUGCAGAUUUUAUUUC
Lathyrus oleraceus (garden pea) is the source of this 107-nucleotide small nucleolar RNA. The record is from RefSeq and is a predicted model, not a curated record. Lineage: Eukaryota; Viridiplantae; Streptophyta; Magnoliopsida; Fabales; Fabaceae.